GAUGAACGCUGGCGGCGUGCCUAAUACAUGCAAGUCGAGCGAACAGAUGAGGAGCUUGCUCCUCUGACGUUAGCGGCGGACGGGUGAGUAACACGUGGAUAACCUACCUAUAAGACUGGGAUAACUUCGGGAAACCGGCGCUAAUACAGGCUAAUAUAUUGAACCGCAUGGUUCAAUAGUGGAAGACGGUCUUGCUGUCACUUAUAGAUGGAUCCGCGCCGCAUUAGCUAGUUGGUAAGGUAACGGCUUACCAAGGCAACGAUGCGUAGCCGACCUGAGAGGGUGAUCGGCAACACUCGACCUGAGACACGGUCCAGACGCAUACGGGAGCUAGCACUCGGGACUCUGCUGCAACGGGCUAAAGCUUGAUCGAGGAACAGCCUGGGAGUGAAGAAAAAGUGCGGGUUGGAAACAGCUAUUACUAGGCAAGAAAAAAUGUGUAAUUAGCUAUUGAUGGAGUGACCGUACAAAGACAGAAAGACACCGAUAACUUCGUU
Molecule: ribosomal RNA, 497 nt
Filed under: uncultured bacterium
Lineage: Bacteria
Description: partial 16S ribosomal RNA
Rfam family: Bacterial small subunit ribosomal RNA
Source: RNAcentral